CCCGAACUUUAAGAAGAGAAUCAGAUAGAAAAUGCUUAGGAUUCGUGCAUUUGAGGGUAUGAAAGGAUGGAGAAAAAGAUGAGCCUACGGCGGCAGCAGCAGUGGGAGCCCCGGGGGCGGGCAUUGAACGCCAAGUAGUGGCGGUGGCGGUGGCGGUGGUUUUUCCAGUUAAUGUAGAAAGGGUGUGAUGGCGGAGCAGACAGCGGAAAGCUGGCUAGAGAGAUGGGGAAGUGUAAAGCUAUCUAAGGUGAUG
This 253-nucleotide unclassified non-coding RNA is filed under the name Hevea brasiliensis (rubber tree). Lineage: Eukaryota; Viridiplantae; Streptophyta; Magnoliopsida; Malpighiales; Euphorbiaceae. The record is from RNAcentral.